AUUGAACGCUGGCGGAAUGCUUUACACAUGCAAGUCGAACGAUGAACCUUAGCUUGCUCCGGGGAUUAGUGGCGAACGGGUGAGUAAUAUAUCGGAACGUGCCUUGUAAUGGGGGAUAACUAGUCGAAAGAUUAGCUAAUACCGCAUACGCCCUGAGGGGGAAAGUAGGGGAUCUUCGGACCUUACGUUAUAAGAGCGGCCGAUAUCUGAUUAGCUAGUUGGCGGGGUAAUGGCCUACCAAGGCGACGAUCAGUAGCUGGUCUGAGAGGACGACCAGCCACACUGGAACUGAGACACGGUCCAGACUCCUACGGGAGGCAGCAGUGGGGAAUUUUGGACAAUGGGCGCAAGCCUGAUCCAGCCAUUCCGCGUGAGUGAAGAAGGCCUUCGGGUUGUAAAGCUCUUUCGCAAGGGAAGAAAACUUACCAUCGAAUAAAUGGUGAGGCUGACGGUACCUUGAGAAGAAGCACCGGCUAACUACGUG
RNAcentral lists this ribosomal RNA (484 nucleotides) under uncultured bacterium. RNAcentral's name for it is "partial 16S ribosomal RNA". It matches the Rfam family "Bacterial small subunit ribosomal RNA", at positions 30 to 507 of the family's 1533-position model. The record is from RNAcentral.